RNAcentral lists this ribosomal RNA (466 nucleotides) under Vreelandella stevensii. RNAcentral describes it as "partial 16S ribosomal RNA". It matches the Rfam family "Bacterial small subunit ribosomal RNA", at positions 338 to 795 of the family's 1533-position model. Lineage: Bacteria; Pseudomonadati; Pseudomonadota; Gammaproteobacteria; Oceanospirillales; Halomonadaceae. The record is from RNAcentral.
CCUACGGGUGGCUGCAGUGGGGAAUAUUGGACAAUGGGGGCAACCCUGAUCCAGCCAUGCCGCGUGUGUGAAGAAGGCCCUCGGGUUGUAAAGCACUUUCAGUGAGGAAGAACGCCUGGUGGUUAAUACCCAUCAGGAAAGACAUCACUCACAGAAGAAGCACCGGCUAACUCCGUGCCAGCAGCCGCGGUAAUACGGAGGGUGCGAGCGUUAAUCGGAAUUACUGGGCGUAAAGCGCGCGUAGGUGGCUUGAUAAGCCGGUUUGUGAAAGCCCCGGGCUCAACCUGGGAACGGCAUCCGGAACUGUCAAGCUAGAGUGCAGGAGAGGAAGGUAGAAUUCCCGGUGUAGCGGUGAAAUGCGUAGAGAUCGGGAGGAAUACCAGUGGCGAAGGCGGCCUUCUGGACUGACACUGACACUGAGGUGCGAAAGCGUGGGUAGCAAACAGGAUUAGAUACCCUAGUAGUC